Vespa mandarinia (Asian giant hornet) is the source of this 219-nucleotide long non-coding RNA. NCBI's taxonomy places the organism in Eukaryota, Metazoa, Arthropoda, Insecta, Hymenoptera, Vespidae. The record is from RefSeq and is a predicted model, not a curated record.
AUCCAUUCGCGUCAGAUCGUCGACGGAUAAUUAUUGUUGUUGAACGAGUGGCUCUUCAGCGUGCGAUGGCUAUCCUUCAAAAACAUUUAUAUAUGAUGUUUACAUUAGUGGGUGGACGGACGCAGAUAGAAUGAAAUUCUUUAAUAUUAUAUAUUUUACAUCAUCAUCGAGUGUACGGAAGAAAAAGUAAUUCUACCGAUAAUCAACGAUGAACCUUGC